This 516-nucleotide ribosomal RNA is filed under the name Vietnamorpha pumatensis. RNAcentral's name for it is "partial 16S ribosomal RNA". It matches the Rfam family "Archaeal large subunit ribosomal RNA", at positions 1888 to 2666 of the family's 2987-position model. The record is from RNAcentral. Lineage: Eukaryota; Metazoa; Arthropoda; Diplopoda; Polydesmida; Paradoxosomatidae.
UUGACUGUUUUACAAAGACAUUGCUUUUUGGAAAGAUAAAAAGUAAUUCCUGCCCACUGUUUUUACUAAUAAAGGGCUGCAGUAUUUUGACUGUAUAAAGGUAGCAUAAUCAUUAGCUUCUUAAUUAGAAGCUGGUAUGAAGGGGAAACUAGAAAAAAAUGUGUUUUUUGAGAAGGUAGAAUUUGAUUACUUUGUGAAAAAUCAAAGUUAAAAAUAAGGGACAAGAAGACCCUAAUUUAAGUUUAAUUAUAAUUAUUUAUAGAGUGCAAAGAUAUUAGUACAGCAUGGAUAGAAUAGUUUAGCUGGGGCGGUAAAUUUUGGAAACAUAAUUAUGAAUUUAAUUUUAAUAUAAAGCGGGUAAGAGACCUAACUAGGUUAGUUGAAGGAAAAAUUACUUUAGGGAUAACAGCGUUAUUAUUUUAGAAAGUUCUCAUUAGCAAAAUAGUUUGCGACCUCGAUGUUGGAUUAAGAUUAGAAUUGGUGCAGGAGCCAGUGAGAUCGUGCGUCUAGGAGANC